Molecule: long non-coding RNA, 606 nt
Organism: Bos taurus (domestic cattle)
Lineage: Eukaryota; Metazoa; Chordata; Mammalia; Artiodactyla; Bovidae
Source: Ensembl
CAUCCCCCUCCCGGACAUCCGGUCUUUACUGAGGAUCCCUUUGAAACUACUUCUGCCCAGACUGUAAUCACACAGCAGCCUCACCACCUCCUGGUCAAGAAGGCAACACUGAUUCUACAAGGUUUGAAGGCCAGGUCAGAUGCAGCCAGCUCAAGGGAACUGGACCCCACAUGCUGCAACUAAAAGUUUGUUUGCUACAACUAAAGAUACAACGAAGAUGGAAGAUCCUGCAUGCUGCGACUAAGAUCUGACGCAGCCAAAAUAAAUAAAAGAAUGUAAGCUUCAUGUCUACCUUAAAAAAUAAUAAAUUAACAAAUCCAAAUGUUGGCUCUCUGAAAAAGAUUAAUAAAGGUGACAACCCUAGUAAGACUGAUUAAGAAGAAAAAAGAGAAAGAAAACAUAAAUUAUCAGUAUCAGCAAUGAAAGAGAAUCAUCACAGAUUCUACAGAUGUUAAAAAGAUAAUAAAUGAAUAUUAUAAACAAUGACACUAAAUCUGACAACUUAGAUGAAAUGAGACAACUUCUUGAAAAAUCCAAAUGAUCAAAACUGACAUGAAAAUAACUACAAAAAUUUAAUGGCCCCUUUUUACAAAUAUUGUCUAUUAC